AUGGACUUCUGUGGGAUUGAUUAGCACGUAUUACGAGGAAGAACGAAAGAGGAUUGAAAAAGACUUAUUUUGUGAUAGUAUUUGAAUGAUUCUUUUUUUAGGAAGGAGACCCNUUUAACUUAAGCAUAAGCUUGGA
This 136-nucleotide ribosomal RNA is filed under the name Microsporidium sp. 2_SPb. RNAcentral's name for it is "partial 23S ribosomal RNA". The record is from RNAcentral. Lineage: Eukaryota; Fungi; Microsporidia.